CUGGGGAGUACGGCCGCAAGGUUAAAACUCAAAUGAAUUGACGGGGGCCCGCACAAGCGGUGGAGCAUGUGGUUUAAUUCGAUGCAACGCGAAGAACCUUACCUGGUCUUGACAUCCACGGAAGUUUUCAGAGAUGAGAAUGUGCCUUCGGGAACCGUGAGACAGGUGCUGCAUGGCUGUCGUCAGCUCGUGUUGUGAAAUGUUGGGUUAAGUCCCGCAACGAGCGCAACCCUUAUCCUUUGUUGCCAGCGGUCCGGCCGGGAACUCAAAGGAGACUGCCAGUGAUAAACUGGAGGAAGGUGGGGAUGACGUCAAGUCAUCAUGGCCCUUACGACCAGGGCUACACACGUGCUACAAUGGCGCAUACAAAGAGAAGCGACCUCGCGAGAGCAAGCGGACCUCAUAAAGUGCGUCGUAGUCCGGAUUGGAGUCUGCAACUCGACUCCAUGAAGUCGGAAUCGCUAGUAAUCGUGGAUCAGAAUGCCACGGUGAAUACGUUCCCGGGCCUUGUACACACCGCCCGUCACACCAUGGGAGUGGGUUGCAAAAGAAGUAGGUAGCUUAACCUUCGGGAGGGCGCUUACCACUUUGUGAUUCAUGACUGGGGUGAAGUCGUAACAAGGUAACCGUAGGGGAACCUGCGGUUGGAUCACCUCCUUA
Molecule: ribosomal RNA, 660 nt
Filed under: Escherichia coli
Lineage: Bacteria; Pseudomonadati; Pseudomonadota; Gammaproteobacteria; Enterobacterales; Enterobacteriaceae
Also listed under: 1 other name
Description: bacterial SSU rRNA
Rfam family: Bacterial small subunit ribosomal RNA
Source: RNAcentral